CGCGAACGCUGGCGGCAUGCUUAACACAUGCAAGUCGCACGGGAGGGGGCAACCCCUCCAGUGGCGGACGGGUGGAGUAACGACGUAGGUAUCUGUCCAUGGGUGGGGGAGUAACAGCGGGAAACUGCUGCUAAUACCGCAUGACACCUGAGGGUCAAAGGCGCAAGUCGCCUGUGGAGGAGCCUGCGUCCGAUUAGCUUGUUGGUGGGGUAAUGGCCUACCAAGGCACGAUCGGUAGCUGGUCUGAGAGGAUGAUCAGCCACACUGGGACUGAGACACGGCCCA
This 285-nucleotide ribosomal RNA is filed under the name uncultured bacterium. RNAcentral describes it as "partial 16S ribosomal RNA". It matches the Rfam family "Bacterial small subunit ribosomal RNA", at positions 29 to 333 of the family's 1533-position model. The record is from RNAcentral.